AUGUCUUCCUCCUCAUCCCACACCAUGGCCAAUCCCCUCAACAACCAAAUCAUCGAGAAGCUUACCCGUGAAAACUUCCUUCUGUGGAAGACCCAACUCCUUCUCCAGAUACGUGGAGCUUCCCUUUUCGGGUAGCUAGAUGGAUCCAUUGUCGAGCCUAAGAAAACCAUCACCAGCACCGACAAAGAUGGCAAGCCUACAAGCAUGCCAAACCCGGCGCACGCGACCUGGGUCACCCAAUACCAGCAAGUGCUCGCCUACCUCCUGACUUCGAUCACGAGGGAGGUGCUGACGCAGAUGGUCGCCGUGGAGACGGAGCACGCGGCAUGGACCGCUCUAACAAACAUGUUUUCGUCGCACUCCCACUCCUGCAUCAACAACCUCCGGAUCUCCCUCUCCAACACCGAGAAGGGAACCCAGUCAGUCGUGGUCUACUUUGCCAAGAUGUGGUCAUUCGCUGAUGAGCUGGCGGCUGCCGGCAAACCACUUGGCGAAGAUGAACUGAUCUCAUACAUCCUGGCCGGCCUCGACCUGGAAUACAACCCCCUGGUAUCUUCUCUUGAUGCUCGUACCGAACCACUUACACUAGAUGCACUGUACUCCCAGAUGGCGAACUUUGAUCAGCGCGUC
This 630-nucleotide ribosomal RNA is filed under the name Triticum aestivum (bread wheat). Its description in RNAcentral is "partial small subunit ribosomal RNA". The stretch from base 484 to 622 matches the Rfam family "Small nucleolar RNA Z247". The record is from RNAcentral. Lineage: Eukaryota; Viridiplantae; Streptophyta; Magnoliopsida; Poales; Poaceae.